AUGGAAGGCGGCGGCCGCAAGAGGGGCACGCACGACGGCGCCUCCGUCGGAGGCAAGCGCACGCGAGAAUCGGAGUCAUUUCAAACCGGUGUAGGAAGCAAAUCGAAGCCAUGCACCAAAUUUUUCAGUACCGCUGGUUGCCCCUUUGGUGAGGGUUGCCACUUCCUCCAUUACUUCCCCGGUGGCCACCAGGCUGUUGCAAAGAUGAGCAACCUGGGUGGCCAAGCAUUUGCACAUCCCCAAGGAAGAGUGCCCGCAGGAUCUGCUGUUCCAGAUGGCCACCCUACACCAACUGUCAAGACUAAAUUGUGCAACAAGUAUAACACUGCAGAGGGAUGCAAAUGGGGCGACAAGUGCCACUUUGCACAUGGUGAGAGGGAGCUCGGCAAGCAGACGUUCAUCAACAACUCUAUGCCACCCCAUAUGGGACCAAGGCCCACUGGUCACUUUGGACCUCCGGCAAUGCCCAGCCCUGGCAUGGCCACCCCAGCAGGCUUCGGGGCUUCUUCCACAGCCAAGGUCAGCGUCGAUGCAUCCCUCGCAGGCGCCAUCAUUGGGCGGGGUGGAGUCAACACAAAGCAGAUAUCUCGAGUCACCGGGGCCAAGCUGGCCAUCCGGGACCACGAAUCAAACGAAGCCUUGAAAAACAUUGAGCUCGAGGGCACGUUUGAUCAGAUCAACAACGCCAGCGCCAUGCUCAGGGAGUUGAUCUUCAGGAUCAGCGGCGGCGCCAACGCCCCUCCGCCGGGCGUGAUCUCGGCUGGAGGGUCUCACCGCGGAAGCAAUUUCAAGACCAAGCUGUGUGACAACUUCACGAAAGGAUCGUGCACGUUUGGCGACAGAUGCCACUUUGCCCAUGGCGAGAACGAGCUGCGCAAGUCGGCUGCUGCAUGA
RNAcentral lists this ribosomal RNA (894 nucleotides) under Triticum aestivum (bread wheat). RNAcentral describes it as "partial small subunit ribosomal RNA". Lineage: Eukaryota; Viridiplantae; Streptophyta; Magnoliopsida; Poales; Poaceae. The record is from RNAcentral.